GCAGCCACUCAUUCAAAGAGUGCGUAAUAGCUCACUGGUCGAGUGAUCCUGCGCCGAAGAUUUCCGGGGCUAAAACUUACUACCGAAGCUACGGCAUCAGUAAUGAUGGGUAGGGGAGCUUCCCAUACGGGUUGAAGCAUGACCGUAAGGACAUGUGGACAGUAUGGGAGUGAGAAUGUUGGCAUGAGUAGCGAGAUGUGGGUGAGAAUCCCACAGGCCGUAAACCCAAGGUUUCCAGGGGAAGGUUCGUCCGCCCUGGGUUAGUCGGGACCUAAGCUGAGGCCGAAAGGCGUAGGUGAUGGACAACAGGUUGAUAUUCCUGUACUACCGAUAACCGUUUGAGAGAUGGGAUGACACAGUAGGAUAAGCUAAGCACACUGUUGGUUAUGUGUGCCCAAGCAUUGAGGCAGUCAAAGUAGGCAAAUCCGCUUUGAUAAUGCUGGGAUGUGAUGGGGAGCGAAAUUUAGUAGCGAAGUAGCUGAUUUCACACUGUCAAGAAAAGUCUCUAUCGAGGUUAAAGGUACCCGUACCGCAAACCGACACAGGUGGGUGAGGAGAGUAUCCUAAGGCCAGCGAGAGAACUGUUGUUAAGGAACUCGGCAAAAUGACCCCGUAACUUAGGGAUAAGGGGUGCCACCAUCAGGUGGCCGCAGAGAAUAGGCCCAAGCGACUGUUUACCAAAAACAUAGGUUUCUGCUAAGUCGCAAGACGAUGUAUAGGAGCUGACGCCUGCCCGGUGCUGGAAGGUUAAGGGGAUCUGUUAGAGCAAUCGAAGCAGUGAACUUAAGCC
Molecule: ribosomal RNA, 790 nt
Filed under: Clostridioides difficile
Lineage: Bacteria; Bacillati; Bacillota; Clostridia; Peptostreptococcales; Peptostreptococcaceae
Description: bacterial LSU rRNA
Rfam family: Bacterial large subunit ribosomal RNA
Source: RNAcentral